GAUGUAGUGGCGUUACUAAAAUACCGAGACGGUAGCACAUUUGGCUCGAACCUAAGUAGUCCUGAGUUCGAUUCUCAGCUGCGGCA
Non-coding RNA from Rhamnusium bicolor, 86 nucleotides. NCBI's taxonomy places the organism in Eukaryota, Metazoa, Arthropoda, Insecta, Coleoptera, Cerambycidae. The record is from the annotation of a GenBank genome assembly.